This 253-nucleotide ribosomal RNA is filed under the name uncultured bacterium. RNAcentral describes it as "partial 16S ribosomal RNA". It matches the Rfam family "Bacterial small subunit ribosomal RNA", at positions 524 to 776 of the family's 1533-position model. The record is from RNAcentral.
UACAGAGGUCCCAAGCGUUGUUCGGAAUUACUGGGCGUAAAGGGUUCGUAGGUGGCCCGCUAAGUCAGACGUGAAAUCCCCGGGCUCAACCCGGGAACUGCGUCCGAGACUGGCAGGCUCGAAUCCGGGAGAGGGAUGUGGAAUUCCAGGUGUAGCGGUGAAAUGCGUAGAUAUCUGGAGGAACACCGGUGGCGAAGGCGGCAUCCUGGACCGGUAUUGACGCUGAGGCGCGAAAGCCAGGGGAGCAAACGGG